GCACCGUCUCCACAGCAACGCCGUUGCCAGUCCGCGCUCAGGGCUUCGGCCCCGCGGGAGGCGCGCUCGGAUGACGUCACGCCCCCGCGCCGCUUGGGUGACGUCACCCCGGCUCGGAGGAGGGCCCCGCCGACCUGCCGAUGUGAAGGCGGCUGGGCGUCGUCUCAGGUUGGGGCGUCUGUCGCUCCGAAACACCUAGUCGUGAGCGAGUGCGGUCGAGGGCGGCUCGCUGCUGCGCCCUCAGUCUGUCCCGGGAACCCAUCGGAGGUGCUGCUGUCCCAUCUGGCUCUCUCGGAGCUGUCUGGAGGGCACAGAUCCGAGAAUCAGACCAAUUCAGUCCCUUCUCGUCGGCCUCUUACGUCUGCUGGUGCAUUCCUCGUAGAAUCCAUAAUGCCUCCUACCAGUCCGAAAAUGCUAGUUGAAUUCCCAGAUUGCUUUUGCCAGCGAGUUUCCGUAGCAGGCCAUCUCCUUUUCCAGACCGGUGCUUGUAAGAUGAGCAAGCAAAGUUUUAGGCUCUGGUUGUAAAGGAAGGGUAACCAGACUCCCUCCGACUGAGGGCCUCAGAAGUUCUCCGGGUCAGGAUUUGAACUUUCAAGGGCUUGGGGCUUCUCUUGACUGCUCGUGGUUCUUUCCGAUUGUUGGCUAGCAUGCAAAGGGUCGACCUGGCCAAGUAAAUGAGCUGCAGGUAAAUGAAGUGUCACUGUCGUGAAACUUACGAAGCAGCCGCUUCUGUCUCGCGCAGUGCUGACCCCGGCCAUGCAGUGAUGAUGAGAGUCUCUGCCAGCAAGGAGAACUCCCUUCGUUGAUUAAUUCAAGAAACACUUGUUGGCCAUCAACUGUGUGCGAGGCACAGUUUAGAUUGUUACUGUCCGUCGAAAGAAUGAAGUUGAUUUAGGACCUAGCAUGUGGCUAGAGGUCAGAUUUGAUUUUGAGCCCGGGCUCUGCUGAGUGAUCCUGGUCGCUGUCUACCUCAGGCUGUCCACAGAGGACACCGGCGCUGGUGGAAAACAGCCCCCUGACCAGCACACAGCCUCAGAGGUCGUCCACAGAUUCUCCUCAAAUUGUUUUAAAAACAGCUUUCACCCAGACUCUGCUUUCUGUGGGUCUGUAUGCUGAGGCAAGGUUAUAUUUAGGCAGAACCCUCCUACCUCAUCCCCAGAAAGUUCCUCUAAAACCACCUAAUCCAAAAGGAAAAAAAAAAAUCCCUUUCUUCAAGUGCAUGGUGUCUUGAAGCUAAACAUGUGCCGGUGUGUUGGAGGGUGGCCUGGGAGAUUGGGUCACGUCCUGGGUCACUGUCUGGGGAGGGAGGAGGCACCAUAAGGGUUGGGGAGUGAAUGUCUGAUUCCCCUGUCACCACAAGGCCUGUGGUUUCCAGCCCUGUCUGCAUCCACGUCCCACUAAACAACAGUGGGAAAGCAAACAGACUUGUACACCAGCGGACACACACACACACACACACACACACACCCAGACUUGCACAGCCUGCAGAGGAAGUGGGGCACCAGAUGUUCUGGGUUUCCUGUUCGAUGCUUCCACAGCUGGUCGAGUCUGUGGUUGUGGUUUGUCUGUCUCGGGCUCAUGUGAGAGACAAAAGCUGGGCUGACGGGAAACCUCCCCUCUGGCCCCCCUUCCUCGGCUCUAACUGAUCAGUCACACGGAAACCUGGCAGGUCAGACAUUUCCUGAAACACCCAGAGCUUGGAUUCUCCCAGGAGGAGGCUGAAUCCCCCUGUGUCUGGGAAGCAGCCUCUGGGUCGAGGGUCAGUCCUCACAGAGCCUAGGGAGGACAGAAACAUCUCCGGGUUCACGAUUCAUAGAGAGCCACAUCCCUGCUGAACAGAAUGGAGCGGAGGCCAGGUUGCCACAGUCACUGAUCGGGCGCCUGGCAUAAAGCAGCCACUCAGAGACGCUCAGCACGGGGAGAAACGAACGAGGAACAGGGAACUUCACCUUUGGGGGCUGGAUCUCAGAGCUCCUGCUGGCCCUCCCUUCUCCUGAGUGGCUUUGGAUUCAGACAAAGGUCCGCAGCGUCACCAUGCCCCUGGUUUGCUGCAAGUAAUCCAGCCUCCCUGGGCCUGGUUUCCUCACCUGUAAAGUGGAGACAGUAAGAUCUGUUUCACAAAUUUGUGAGGCCCCGUGAGACGCGUGGAUUUGCUGGAUCAGGAGUCUUGCCCAUCAUAACUGCUCAAUAAAUGUCGGUUCCCUUU
Molecule: long non-coding RNA, 2206 nt
Organism: Felis catus (domestic cat)
Lineage: Eukaryota; Metazoa; Chordata; Mammalia; Carnivora; Felidae
Exons: 2
Source: RefSeq, a predicted model, not a curated record